Molecule: long non-coding RNA, 738 nt
Organism: Alosa sapidissima (American shad)
Lineage: Eukaryota; Metazoa; Chordata; Actinopteri; Clupeiformes; Clupeidae
Exons: 6
Source: RefSeq, a predicted model, not a curated record
GAGAGAGAUCUGAAGAGGUCCUACCUAUUUGGACGAAACACGGCGUGAGCCCAGUUCUUAAUACUGGCAUGCUUUCCCCCCAGAGCAUAUAGAGCAAUGACAGCUUGGUUCUGGUCUCCAGUGUGGAUUAUAUAUCUCCAUCUCGGUGUGCAUCAUGCUAUUGCAGAGAACGUAUCAAAUGUGAAUUAGGAGACACAGUAUUCCUUCAGCCCAACAUCAGUGUUAAAGGCGAUGACAGCGUGAGGUGGUCAUUUAAUGAUAAACUGCUGAUAAAAGAUAAUAUGACAAAUAAUCCAAGAAAGUAUGUGAGAUCAGUGCACGGAGACCUGAUUAUAUGCAGAGGACACAAAAGUGAUUCUGGUUCAUACAAGGUUGAGAUAUUCAAGAGAUCAGAAACACGGAGAAAACAGCGAACAAUCAAUCUCACGAUCAAAGGCUUCAUUUCAGUGAUUUCAGGUGAUCCCUUAAACCUUUGUGAGACCAAGCCUUGCAACAACGUUAAUGGAAGUGAACAUGUGACAUGUGAACAUGUGACAUGUGAGCAAACCACUAGACGAGGACACUUGUCAACCAUUGUAGUCCUGUCAUCCUUUGUAUUGUUGUGUUUGUGAAAUCAAUGAAGAAAACUCCAUCAACAAGGAAAGAAGAUGCUAAUGAGAAUAUAUACCAAGAGAGGUAACCUACUGAGAAAGACUCCGACAGCAGAGAACACCGCUUUAGAUCCAAAUUCCUCACAUU